Molecule: non-coding RNA, 70 nt
Filed under: Aeromonas caviae
Lineage: Bacteria; Pseudomonadati; Pseudomonadota; Gammaproteobacteria; Aeromonadales; Aeromonadaceae
Source: RNAcentral
GUGCGAAACAGGGUGGCCAUGCCGCCCUGUCUGCCUGGCGUGGUGGCCGGGUACUGAUGAGCAGCCGGAG